AUGCCGGGUUACAAGGGGACCAUCACAGUGCAUGGAAGUCAGAAGAUAGCUUUGGAGUGUGAAGAAGGUGAUGCUGCUGAUGCUGAGUCUGUCUGUGCAACAGAAGAGUUGAAGUUUUACAAGGACGCCAAACCCAAGAAAGACCAUAUCAACUACUCUCCAAAUAGCAGGAUAAAUCAUGGAAUUCAAAUGGAAGAUAGAAAGAGAAGGCAAUUCAAACCUAAUGGCCAAAUGAUCCAAGACGGAAAUACUUAUGGACAUAAAAGAAUAACAAGAGAAUGAAAACAACUCCAUAUUCUACUGGCCUGCCUCUCUGAUCUACUAUCCAACUGCCAUGGAAGCACCACUAAAGACUGGCUUCUCUGACCUUCCACCCGAUCCUGGACGAUUCCUGGUCGACAAGCCGACGGUGUGGAUUCCCUAUAUAUGGAUGGUAGGAACGCUUCAACUGCAGAGCCCUGA
This 462-nucleotide ribosomal RNA is filed under the name Triticum aestivum (bread wheat). RNAcentral describes it as "partial small subunit ribosomal RNA". The record is from RNAcentral. Lineage: Eukaryota; Viridiplantae; Streptophyta; Magnoliopsida; Poales; Poaceae.